This is a long non-coding RNA of Lolium perenne, 1419 nucleotides long. RefSeq lists it as uncharacterized. The record is from RefSeq and is a predicted model, not a curated record. NCBI's taxonomy places the organism in Eukaryota, Viridiplantae, Streptophyta, Magnoliopsida, Poales, Poaceae.
UCAUGGAGAAGAGCAACGAGUAGCCCCACGUCGUCUGACUUCUCCCCGGCGAUCCCCCGCCCGACCGACAGCCCGCCCGCCGCCGCUACUGCUGAUGGAGAAAUGGCGUCCUCUCAGGCGUUCGACCUCUGAGCUCUUCUUCCCGGUGAGCCCCCGCCCGCCCGACAGCCCGUCGUCGCUGCAGCCGACGACGAUAUGGCGUCCUCUCAGGCGCUUGUCGUCUGAGCUCUUCUCCACAGCGAUCCCCUGACUACCGGACAUCCCCACGACAGCCUGCACGCCGCCGCUGCUGACGGCGAGAUGGCGUCCCGCAUCGCCUCUUGCCUCCUCUGCCGCUCUGGCCCUUAUUCGUGACCGGCUGUUUGACAAUCCUCCCACCAUUACAGUGAGCAAGACUAUAACUUCCUAAGAGAUUGGGGAAGUGUUGGAUAUCAUAUAAAUUCAGAGAAGCCUAAAACUAGAAGUUGCUAUAUCAAAGGUGAAGAUUCAAACGAAGGUUGAGUACGGGGCCAUUUGAUGUCCCGAUGACUGACUCGGUAGGAGGUAAUCUCUUGGCAUCUUGUAGUUAUUUGGUUACAUUUUAAAGCAUGACUGAACCUGAAGAUAUCGAUGACGAAGUAGCCAAAAAAUGGGAACACACGAUGCUGCAUGAUAGCUUGGGCAAAGAGUUGAAUGAAUUAAACAAACAACCAGAGAAAAAGGAGGUAUGAAUUAUCUUCUUACUCUUGUAUUCUGAUUAUGCUUGACAAGAACCUUACAACAACUUUUCCCAAAUACUUCGAAGUCUGAGAUGAAAGGGUACGAACAUGAUACCCUGUCACUUAAGCAGCACUUCAGUAAAAAAAAACUUAUGGAGCUCCAAGAAAAGAAAGGCGGUGUACAUUAUGUGUUCAUAUAAAUUUCACAAUUUAGUACAUGUUAGUCAUAAAAUACCGGAACUGCAGAUUCUAGAAUUCAAGAAUAAAAAGGAGAAGUAUUGUCUGUCCUCCUAUCUAAUUGCUUGUUUUCUUAUUGUAGAUCUCAGGCUUCAUAACUUUGGAACAUUCCUUUGGAUUCCUGUGUUGAUUCCUCACCUUUGCUUGUGCUGAACAAUGGGAUGAUGAACAUAUAUAUUGGAUCUCAUUCACAACUACUUCUGUGCAUUGAUGGUUACAGUACCACACGACAAGAAACCCCUGGCGCAGAAAGGAAGCCCUGACGUAUCGAAGCAAAAGGAAGUGCUAUGCUGGUGAAGAACUACUUGGAUUAGCAUAGGGAGCAGUGGAAGAGAGGCAGGAACGAUAAGAAGAUCAAGAAGUAGUAAUUUUUUUGCUAGGGCUUGAAACACUACAAAAUUCCAUGUCCUUGUUGCUGUGUUGUACCAUGAUAAUUUGAGAUAUAGCGGAAGAAAGAAAUGUAUUGACAGAUUGUAACAGUAUA